AAUGAACGUUGGCGGCGUGGAUUAGGCAUGCAAGUCGCGCGAGAAGUUUCCUUCGGGAGACGGACAGCGGCGGAAGGGAGAGGAAUAAGUAGAAAUCUGCCCUCGGGACGGGGAUAGCGGCGGGAAACUGCCGGUAAUACCCGAUAACAUCUUUGGAUCAAAUGGUGUGAUUCCGCCUGAGGAUGAGUCUACUUCCUAUUAGCUAGUUGGUGUGGUAAUGGCUCACCAAGGCAACGAUGGGUAGCGGGUGUGAGAGCACGAUCCGCCUCACUGGGACUGAGACACUGCCCAGACACCUACGGGUGGCUGCAGUCGAGAAUCUUCGGCAAUGGGGGAAACCCUGACCGAGCGACGCCGCGUGCGGGAUGAAGGCCCUCGGGUUGUAAACCGCUGUCGUAAGGGAACAAAUCUAAGAGGGUACUCCCUUUUAGUUGAGUGAUCUUAGGAGGAAGGACGGGCUAAGUUCGUGCCAGCAGCCGCGGUAAAGUCUGUACU
This 495-nucleotide ribosomal RNA is filed under the name uncultured bacterium. RNAcentral's name for it is "bacterial SSU rRNA". It matches the Rfam family "Bacterial small subunit ribosomal RNA", at positions 29 to 531 of the family's 1533-position model. The record is from RNAcentral.